Molecule: long non-coding RNA, 659 nt
Filed under: Homo sapiens (human)
Lineage: Eukaryota; Metazoa; Chordata; Mammalia; Primates; Hominidae
Description: LHRI_LNC1087.3
Source: RNAcentral
GCCUGUGUCCUUCAUAACUUGGGUCACAGCAGUUUCCAACAAGAAAGAGAACUGAAACAACCAGGGAAUUCCCUGGCAAGGAGAAGUCCUGCCCAGUCUGCAUCUUUCAGAAGCCAGGAGGAAUGCCCCAGGUUUGUGGGUAGGAGUAUGCAUACACAGUGCUGGUUGUUGGCUUUCCGGAGGCAGAUGGGAGCUGGAAGUCUCACGAAGGGAGAGUAAGAGCCCGAAGGAAAGCCGAUUCAUUACAAUGCUGGCUAAUACCCACAGGAACACUGAACUCCACUGUGUGGGAGCUUGAGGGGCCUGUGCUGCCCAUGCCGAGUGUCCACCAUCUCACACUGCUUCUAACACCUUCAAGCCAUCUCCUGAAUCUGGAAUAGUCAUCAUGAGCUGGAGGCUUCCUCAGAAGAACCCUAAAAUCAAGGGGGAUUCUGGUGCCAAGAAAAAUAGCCCAACCCAGCUUCACAGCUGUGAGCCUCCAAUGCGCCCCAGGAAGCUGCCAUCACCAUGGGUAGCGCGACCUGGCUUGAUUUUGCCAAAACAAAGGAAAAUUCCUCCAGCAAUUUCUGUGAAUUUGUUUUGCAAAACUGAAUUGUCUGCUUUUAAUUCCCCUAUACCAAUUAAAUAAAAAUUGGAAUUUAAAAUCCAGUGAAUGACAG